CUAGCUGUAAACGAUGGAUACUAGGCGUUGAGAGUAUCGACCCUCUCAGUGUCGUAGCUAACGCGUUAAGUAUCCCGCCUGGGGAGUACGCGCGCAAGCGUGAAACUCAAAGGAAUUGACGGGGGCCCGCACAAGCCGGUGGAGUAUGUGGUUUAAUUCGAUGCAACGCGAAGAACCUUACCAGGGCUUGACAUGUCCGGAACCCUGCCCAAAGGCGGGGGUGCCUACGGGAACCGGAACACAGGUGGUGC
This 251-nucleotide ribosomal RNA is filed under the name uncultured Chroococcidiopsis sp. Its description in RNAcentral is "partial 16S ribosomal RNA". It matches the Rfam family "Bacterial small subunit ribosomal RNA", at positions 796 to 1044 of the family's 1533-position model. Lineage: Bacteria; Bacillati; Cyanobacteriota; Cyanophyceae; Chroococcidiopsidales; Chroococcidiopsidaceae. The record is from RNAcentral.